This is a long non-coding RNA of Alnus glutinosa, 535 nucleotides long. RefSeq lists it as uncharacterized. NCBI's taxonomy places the organism in Eukaryota, Viridiplantae, Streptophyta, Magnoliopsida, Fagales, Betulaceae. The transcript has 3 exons. The record is from RefSeq and is a predicted model, not a curated record.
CGAAAGAAAGAAAAAAGAAGAAGAAAACAAGAAAGAAAAAGAAGAAGAAAACAAGAAAAGAAAAGAGAAGAAGAAAACGGAAGGUCAAGUGGCCUUCAAUAAAAUGAGACGCACUGCGUCUUGUUGAGGAGUGCGUAUGUUUUUCUUCCUUUGGAGGGAGAGCUUCUCCUUCUCAGUUUUUUUUUCCUCUUUUGAUUUUUCGUACAAAAAUCAUGAUCUAUGAAGAUCUAACCGUUCAAUUUCAAAUCCGACUUCAGUAACGUGAUCUACGAAACCCGAUCUACGUUUCUACCGAUUGGUUAAAGGUGAUGAACUGAGAGACUGUACAAAAAGACCCCCAUGAUGCAGGUACGAAAGAGUAUAAAGCUCAAGGAUUGGAUUUUGUUAGCAUUGAAGAAUUAGAACUGUUUAUUAAUAUAGUUAAUGAUUGUAGUAAUUUCUUUGUAUCAACUUGGAAUGUAAUACUUUAAUUACAUUUGUCACUCAGUAAACUCUGAUGUAUUUUUUUAAAGUAAAUAAAUUUAUAUUCCGCUGC